CUUUCAACCCAACGCUGAAUCCAUCCGCAACCAGAUCAUCCAUCGUUUUUUGAAAUGUGGUAUCUGCUAAUUUAUUACAGGCGUUAAGUCGGUUAUUGCAUGUGAAAAUACUCUUGAUCAGAGCACGGUUACGCCCGGUCAGAGGAUGGAGACGUAGUCACCGAGCCUUUUCUCUUAGUGGUAGAGGAGGCUGCAGAGCUUCGUUCUUGUGCUCGGCUGUUAGAAUAGGAACGGUGUCUUAUCCACCUCUUGUCAUUGCGCUUGCAUGUUCCGUGCUUUUUUCUGGAAGGGACUGAAGGCUUGGUGCGUAUUCUCUGUCUCUCGCGCUGUGACUCCGUGACUAGGCAAGCAGUUGACGCAAGUUUAGGCUACUUCAAGCAACAGGCGCAGCACCAGUAGUUGCAGUGACAGGUCACUCACUCCCUCUCCGCUGGUGCUAUGGUGCUGAAAUGGGUGCCGGCAUUUAUUUUAAUCACCUCAUUAGAACUGUGCAAUCCCGCCUUUCUACGAGGAUUGAAUGAGAGUCGACUUCAAAGAAAUUGGAGCUGGAAGAUGGAGUUGUACUUUUAUGUUUUGUGAAAAUAUGUAAAACGUAUCUAAAGGGUAAAGGUUUGGUUUCAAUGAGAAGUAGCUGUCAGACAGUGUUCUGGUGUAUUGCGUCUUGCACAAGCAUUUCGCUAUACUCGCAAUAACAUCUGCUAAUCACGUGUAUGUGACCAAUAAAAUUUGAUUUGAUAUGACACCAAGUGAUGGGCAAAAGCUUUCAAGCAUUCUAUUUCUCUGCUCAUGCAUCCAAGUCGUGUUGGGUCCCUUCUAUAGGUCUCUCUACUUCAUCCCUCCCAUGUCUCUCCCAUCUCAACCACACUAUAGCCUACCCAUCUAUCUGUCUCUUGCUUAUGUCUAGCGAAUGAUUCAGAAAAAGAUAAUGGGCGUAACUAAAAAGGGAAAAGGACCAUUCACGCUGAGUUGGAACAAUAGACAGCAACUCACAAUGGACAAUGCAUAGAGGAGCAGAACUGUUUGGGUUUCUGGACACGUCCACACCAGGCGGGCCUGUGAGGGGAACCAAUGACAGAUAUGUGCAGCUUCCCUCCGAAGCGGUGAGAAAAUGUGGUGCGGGACUGACUUGCAGACUGAUUACUUGCACAUAUCAGAGAGUCGUCUCUGCUAGUUGGCUUGUCUCAGGCCACUCAAGCAAAAGUAAAGUCAGUGUUUGGCAUAAACUGCUCCGGGGUGGAUUGACUCAUUGUAUAGCUAAAGUGCAUCCAGAUAGCUCCGGGUUUUUUCUCUCUAUGGGAUUGGUUCAAUAUCGUAUAGCUGCAGCAAACUCUACACUGCUGCUGCAGAGCUAGAGUUUUUCUAUAACUGAAAUUCAGUUUGGACAUCAGUAAGGCCUAUUUUAAUGGAUUACCCCAAGUUCACGGUAUGCAACAGGUGCUGAAAUCAGAGAGAGACUUUCAUCCAUAAGCAAUUGCCUUAAGGAGCAGGAGAAACAGAGAGAAAGAAGAUUCGGAAGAGAAGGAGAGUGGGAGUGGGUGGAAGGAGAGGAAAAGAAUGGAGCAGUGAGUGGUGAACCAGGGAGCAGGUGAACCCAGUAGUGGAUGGCCAUAGGCUCUCUGGCUCUUCUCUGCUCCGUGCAGGGGUCUCAGGGAGCUGGCUGGGGCCAGCCAGGCAACGGCGGAGUGGGCAGGCGAGUCGAGGCGAGGGGAGGCAAAGUAGGCUCUCAUCCCCGCUGGCAAGUUGCUCCUUGGCAGCGCGGAGUAGCAAAUCAAUAUGGAGGAGAGAGGCUAGCAGGGGUCUCCCAGCACUGCCCCUGGCCCUAGAGCCCAGGGACCCAGCGCUGCCAGCCCUCUCUUCCCUCUCCCAGUCCCAGAACCAGCCAACCCGCACUGUGUGUGUGUGUGUGUGUGUGUGAGAGCGCAUGUCUGUGUGUGUGGUUCCGCCGGAGGGGCUUUCCUGGCUCAAGACCACUUGAUAUAACUUUGCCUGUGAGCGAGAGAGCGAAGGAGAGAGAGAAUAAAAAAUGGACGUCAAAGGUCUUUUUCUCCUAUUUUUCCCUCUGAUUACUCGUUUCACCUGACUGUUUGAAUGAGAGUUCAGUGAAAAGGCCUCUUCCAUUGAAUUGAACAGGCGUCUCUCGUCAGUCCCCCUCCAGUCAUGAACUGUACAGCCACCAUGCUCUCCACAUCUGAUGAACCAGGAUAAAAGGCCAAUUUGAACUACAGAUUCAGAUUAAAUCUUGUAUUUUUCGCCUCCCAUUUUCUUCCUUAUGACUCAGGUCACUAUCAGAGGAUAUGGCAGAGGUUAUUGAUCUAAAUGGAGCUGGAUUUAGUCCAGUACCUUUCACUGUCUGUGGUGGUUACAUGCUGUAGUAGUAACUGAUAACUUCACUAUACAACUGAACUACAUUCAGGAGUGAAGGAGUCCUAAUUGAGUGAAAGAUGAAAAGGACUGUGGACAUAUUUUAUAGUGCCUGAACAGUGGCCCUCUCCACCAGUUCUAUUUUUCCUUCAUAGUUGAAGAAUCCACACAAGAAGCCCUAUCUUUAGAUACUCAAAAAACUACCAACAAUUGCAAUGGAAUGAAAAUGACUCAAUCAUUGCUGAAUGGAAAGCCUGAGAUGCAAAAUGCAGAAUUUUAUUUUUUCAUUGGGGAAGAAAAGGAUUGUCCAUAUCUGCUGGGCUGGAGAGGACAAACGGGUCAGAGCUAGUUUGUGCUUGCAACAGGAACACCUGCACAGAGAGAGAUCUACAAACAACACAAUGGGGCAGACUUCACUUGAUGCUGAGGCUACAAUGGCAAUGCAGUGAACGGAUCAAGCAUCAAUGUCCUGACCAGACCUGACCAGACCUGACCAGAACUGACCAGACCUGCAUAAUGUCCUGACCUGACCUGACCAGACCUGACCAAAACUGACCAGACCUGCAUAAUGUCCUGACCUGACCAGACCAGACCUGACCAGACCUGACCUGACCAGACCUGCCCUGACCUGACCAGCAUAAUGUCCUGACCUGACCUGACCUGACCAGACCUGACCUGACCAGACCAGCAUAAUGUCCUGACCAGAUCUGACCUGACCUGACCUGACCUGACCUGACCUGACCUGACCAGACCAGCAUAAUGUCCUGACCAGAUCUGACCUGACCUGACCAGACCAGCCCAGCGUAAUGUCCUGACCAGACCUGACCAGCACAAUGUCCUGACCUGACCUGACCUGACCUGAACAGACCUGAACUGCCAUGACCAGACCUGACCAGACCAGACCUGACCAGCAUAAUGUCCUGACCUGACCUGACCUGACCUGAACAGACCUGAACUGCCAUGACCAGACCUGACCAGACCAGACCUGACCAGCAUAAUGUCCUGACCAGAUCUGACCUGACCUGGCCAGACCUGACCAGACCAGACCUGACCUGACCUGACCAGACCUGACCUGACCAGCAUAAUGUCCUGACCAGAUCUGACCAGACCUGACCAGACCUGACCAGACCAGACCAGACCUGACCUGAACAGCAUA
Long non-coding RNA from Oncorhynchus mykiss (rainbow trout), 3517 nucleotides. RefSeq lists it as uncharacterized. NCBI's taxonomy places the organism in Eukaryota, Metazoa, Chordata, Actinopteri, Salmoniformes, Salmonidae. The record is from RefSeq and is a predicted model, not a curated record.